AAUCACUCUUAACUUUAUUUGAGUGGUCCGUUGUUACGCACACCUACAAUAAAGCAUGCAAUGUUAGUUAAAACACACAACAUUAGUUAAAACAUAUAAGAUGGUUUCAACACAUGCAAGAUUCCUUGAAAACCAAUCUGAAUCUUCUACUGCCUUUGAUGAUCACGAUGCGCGUUUGCAACAGUUGAAUGAUCAAAUUUGUGAACAAGAGCAGCAAUUAGCUAUUCUGCAUGCACAACAGUGGCUCAAUGAGUUGGAAGCACAGAUUUGUGGAGAUACUCUCAUCAAGCCUCAAUUAACUCAGAAUAUCACCACAGAACCACCACAAAAUCGAUCUGUGAACAAUACAGAUGAUGAUAAUGAAACACCACUGAGGUUGAAGAUUAAGAACUAUUAUCAAGGAAAAAAUAUGUUAGAAUUCAAGGACUAUAAAGAUCACAUGUUGACUCUCUUUACAUGCCACCACCAGUAU
Molecule: small RNA, 472 nt
Filed under: Histoplasma ohiense
Lineage: Eukaryota; Fungi; Ascomycota; Eurotiomycetes; Onygenales; Ajellomycetaceae
Description: hypothetical lncRNA
Source: RNAcentral